Molecule: unclassified non-coding RNA, 309 nt
Filed under: Hevea brasiliensis (rubber tree)
Lineage: Eukaryota; Viridiplantae; Streptophyta; Magnoliopsida; Malpighiales; Euphorbiaceae
Source: RNAcentral
CCAUAGCCUCACGGGUGAAGGUAAAGAUGGCAACGUCGGCAAGUCUAGUGAUGCUAAGUUAGUUUCUAAUUAUUUGUCAGUUAGGGUUUCUAUUAUAAAGAAACCAGAAUUGAGUGCUCGGGUGGAGAAAAAACAGAGCAGCUUGGAAGUUCAAAACAAUGACACGAACACUGGACUUGAGUCCUUGUGCCAAUACUACGACAGUGACGAGGAGGAUUGAUAUGUUAUAUUAUCAGUUUGAGCGCAUUCUACCUUUAUAAACUUUAAUGUGUAUACUAUAUAACUUGGUAAUACAGGUUGGCUUCGUGG